UGGGGAAUAUUGCACAAUGGGCGCAAGCCUGAUGCAGCCAUGCCGCGUGUGUGAAGAAGGCCUUCGGGUUGUAAAGCACUUUCAGCGAGGAGGAAGGUGGUGGACUUAAUACGUUCAUCAAUUGACGUUACUCGCAGAAGAAGCACCGGCUAACUCCGUGCCAGCAGCCGCGGUAAUACGGAGGGUGCAAGCGUUAAUCGGAAUUACUGGGCGUAAAGCGCACGCAGGCGGUUUGUUAAGUCAGAUGUGAAAUCCCCGGGCUCAACCUGGGAACUGCAUUUGAAACUGGCAAGCUAGAGUCUCGUAGAGGGGGGUAGAAUUCCAGGUGUAGCGGUGAAAUGCGUAGAGAUCUGGAGGAAUACCGGUGGCGAAGGCGGCCCCCUGGANGAAGACUGACGCUCAGGUGCGAAAGCGUGGGGAGCAAACAGAUUAGAUACCCUGGUAGUCCACGCUGUAAACGAUGUCGAUUUUGGAGGUUGUGCCCCUNAGGCGUGGNUUCCGGAGCUAACGNGUUAAAUGA
Molecule: ribosomal RNA, 520 nt
Filed under: uncultured bacterium
Lineage: Bacteria
Description: partial 16S ribosomal RNA
Rfam family: Bacterial small subunit ribosomal RNA
Source: RNAcentral